AGGACAAAGAGUGAGGGAAGGUGGUGCAGGACAAGAGAGAGGGAAGGUGGUGCAGGACAAAGAGAGAGGGAAGGAGGUGCAGGACAAAAGAGAGAGGGAAGGAGGUGCAGGACAAAGAGUGAGGGAAGGAGGUGCAGGACAAAGCGAGAGGGAAGGAGGUGCAGGACAAAGCGAGAGGGAAGGAGGUGCAGGACAAAGCGAGAGGGAAGGAGGUGCAGGACAAAGAGUGAGGGAAAGUGGUGCAGGACAAGGAGAGAGGGAAGGUGGUGCAGGACAAAGAGAGAGGGAAGGAGGUGCAGGACAAAGAGAGAGAGAGGGAAGGUGGUGCAGGACAAAGAGAGAGGGAAGGUGGUUCAGGACAAAGAGUGAGGGAAGGUGGUGCAGGACAAAGAGAGAGAGAGGGAAGGAGGUGCAGGACAAAGAGAGAGAGAGGGAAGGAGGUGCAGGACAAAGAGUGAGGGAAGGUGGUGCAGGACAAAGAGAGAGGGAAGGUGGUGCAGGACAAAGAGUGAGGGAAGGAGGUGCAGGACAAAGAGAGAGAGAGGGAAGGUGGUGCAGGACAAAGAGAGAGGGGAGGUGGUGCAGGACAAAGAGUGAGGGAAGGUGGUGCAGGACAAAGAGUGAGGGAAGGUGGUGCAGGACAAAGAGAGAGGGAAGGAGGUGCAGGACAAAGAGAGAGGGAAGGAGGUGCAGGACAAAGAGUGAGGGAAGGUGGUGCAGGACAAAGAGUGAGGGAAGGUGGUGCAGGACAAAGAGAGAGGGAAGGCGGUGCAGGACAAAGAGAGAGGGAAGGUGGUGCAGGACAAAGAGAGAUGGAAGAUGGUGCAGGACAAAGAGAGAUGGAAGAUGGUGCAGGACAAAGAGAGAGGGAAGGCGGUGCAGGACAAAGAGAGAGGGAAGGCGGUGCAGGACAAAGAGAGAGGGAAGGCGGUGCAGGACAAAGAGAGAGGGAAGAUGGUGCAGGACCAAGAGUGAGGGAAGAUGGUGCAGGUGUGCUAUAGAAAGUAUACCGUUCACAAGUCGAAGCAGCUACAGUCGAAUAAUCUUAACGUUUCGAUCCCCCUCAAAUG
Oncorhynchus tshawytscha (Chinook salmon) is the source of this 1070-nucleotide long non-coding RNA. The record is from Ensembl. NCBI's taxonomy places the organism in Eukaryota, Metazoa, Chordata, Actinopteri, Salmoniformes, Salmonidae.